UUCGGGGUGCGCAGGCGCGAAAACUUUACAAUGCGGGAAACCGUGAUAAGGGAACCCCGAGUGCCCGUAAAUUCGGGCUGUUAACCUGUUUAAAAAGCAGGUGGAGAAAGGGCCGGGCAAGACCGGUGCCAGCCGCCGCGGUAAUACCGGCGGCUCGAGUGGUGGCCACUAUUACUGGGCUUAAAGCGUCCGUAGCUGGAUUGUUAAGUCUCUUGGGAAAUCUACCGGCUUAACCGAUAGGCGUUCAAGGGAUACUGGCAAUCUAGGGACCGGGAGAGGUGAGAGGUACUCCAGGGGUAGGAGUGAAAUCCUGUAAUCCUUGGGGGACCACCUGUGGCGAAGGCGUCUCACCAGAACGGCUCCGACAGUGAGGGACGAAAGCUGGGGGAGCAAACCGGAUUAGAUACCCGGGUAGUCCCAGCUGUAAACGAUGCGCGUUAGGUGUAUCGGUGACCACGAGUCACCGAGGUGCCGAAGAGAAAUCGUGAAACGUGCCGCCUGGGAAGUACGGUCGCAAGGCUGAAACUUAAAGGAAUUGGCGGGGGAGCAC
This 550-nucleotide ribosomal RNA is filed under the name uncultured archaeon. Its description in RNAcentral is "bacterial SSU rRNA". It matches the Rfam family "Archaeal small subunit ribosomal RNA", at positions 324 to 879 of the family's 1478-position model. The record is from RNAcentral.